Molecule: ribosomal RNA, 465 nt
Filed under: uncultured bacterium
Lineage: Bacteria
Description: partial 16S ribosomal RNA
Rfam family: Bacterial small subunit ribosomal RNA
Source: RNAcentral
GACGAACGCUGGCGGCGUGCUUAACACAUGCGAGUCGAACGGAAAGGCCCUGCUUGCAGGGUACUCGAGUGGCGAACGGGUGAGUAACACGUGGGUGAUCUGCCCUGCACUUCGGGAUAAGCCUGGGAAACUGGGUCUAAUACCGGAUAGGAGCCAUUUUUAGUGUGAUGGUUGGAAAGUUUUUUCGGUGUAGGAUGAGCUCGCGGCCUAUCAGCUUGUUGGUGGGGUAAUGGCCUACCAAGGCGGCGACGGGUAGCCGGCCUGAGAGGGUGGACGGCCACAUUGGGACUGAGAUACGGCCCAGACUCCUACGGGAGGCAGCAGUGGGGAAUAUUGCACAAGGGGCGCAAGCCUGAUGCAGCGACGCCGCGUGGGGGAUGACGGCCUUCGGGUUGUAAACUCCUUUCGCUAGGGACGAAGCUUUUUGUGACGGUACCUAUAGAAGAAGCACCGGCUAACUACGUG